GCGGAUAUGAUGGAAUUGGCAGACAUGCAGGAUUUAGGUUCCUGUGCUUUGUGGCGUGCGGGUUCGAGUCCCGCUAUCCGCA
This 82-nucleotide transfer RNA is filed under the name Lachnospiraceae bacterium. RNAcentral's name for it is "tRNA-Leu". It matches the Rfam family "tRNA". Rfam says of the family: Transfer RNA (tRNA) molecules are approximately 80 nucleotides in length. The record is from RNAcentral. Lineage: Bacteria; Bacillati; Bacillota; Clostridia; Lachnospirales; Lachnospiraceae.